GACGAACGCUGGCGGCGUGCUUAACACAUGCAAGUCGAACGGGAGUAUUGAAGAAGCUUGCUUUAGAGAUACUUUAGUGGCGGACGGGUGAGUAACGCGUGAGGAGCUGUCCGAUGCAGGGGGACAACAGUUGGAAACGACUGCUAAUACCCCAUAAGCCGAGAGGUAAAAGGAUUUAUCCGGCAAUGGAGGUACUCGCGUCCUAUCAGCUAGUAGGUGAGGUAACGGCUCACCUAGGCGAAGACGGGUAGCCGGCCUGAGAGGGCGAACGGCCACGACUGGAACUGAGAUACGGUCCAGACUCCUACGGGAGGCAGCAGUGGGGAAUAUUGGGCAAUGGGGGGAACCCUGACCCAGCGACGCCGCGUGGGUGAAGAAAUCCUUCGGGAUGUAAAGCCCUGUUGUAUGGGAAGAGCGGAAGACGGUACCAUACGAGGAAGCCCCGGCAAACUACGUG
This 457-nucleotide ribosomal RNA is filed under the name uncultured bacterium. RNAcentral's name for it is "bacterial SSU rRNA". It matches the Rfam family "Bacterial small subunit ribosomal RNA", at positions 28 to 507 of the family's 1533-position model. The record is from RNAcentral.